GAGACUCUAGUAAACUCAAUACAUAGCCCUGUCAGCGCUAAAUAAUGGGUGCAACCCCCAUGAGACUCU
RNAcentral lists this transfer RNA (69 nucleotides) under Hemidactylus farasani (Farasan gecko). Its description in RNAcentral is "tRNA-Asp". The record is from RNAcentral. Lineage: Eukaryota; Metazoa; Chordata; Lepidosauria; Squamata; Gekkonidae.